Molecule: ribosomal RNA, 274 nt
Filed under: uncultured bacterium
Lineage: Bacteria
Description: partial 16S ribosomal RNA
Rfam family: Bacterial small subunit ribosomal RNA
Source: RNAcentral
AUACGGAGGGUGCAAGCGUUGUUCGGAAUCACUGGGCGUAAAGGGCGCGCAGGCGGUUCGGUAAGUCAGAUGUGAAAGCCCACGGCUCAACCGUGGAAGUGCAUUUGAAACUGUCAGACUUGAGUACCAGAGGGGAAAGUGGAAUUCCCGGUGUAGAGGUGAAAUUCGUAGAUAUCGGGAGGAAUACCGGUGGCGAAGGCGACUUUCUGGCUGGAUACUGACGCUGAGGCGCGAAAGCGUGGGGAGCAAACAGGAUUAGAAACCCUAGUAGUCC